Molecule: ribosomal RNA, 463 nt
Filed under: uncultured bacterium
Lineage: Bacteria
Description: partial 16S ribosomal RNA
Rfam family: Bacterial small subunit ribosomal RNA
Source: RNAcentral
CUACGGGUUGCAGCAGUGGGGAAUAUUGCACAAUGGGCGCAAGCCUGAUGCAGCCAUGCCGCGUUUAUGAAGAAGGCCUUCGGGUUGUAAAGUACUUUCAGCGGGGAGGAAGGGAGUAAAGUUAAUACCUUUGCUCAUUGACGUUACCCGCAGAAGAAGCACCGGCUAACUCCGUGCCAGCAGCCGCGGUAAUACGGAGGGUGCAAGCGUUAAUCGGAAUUACUGGGCGUAAAGCGCACGCAGGCGGUUUGUUAAGUCGAUGUGAAAUCCCCGGGCUCAACCUGGGAACUGCAUCUGAUACUGGCAAGCUUGAGUCUCGUAGAGGGGGGUAGAAUUCCAGGUGUAGCGGUGAAAUGCGUAGAGAUCUGGAGGAAUACCGGUGGCGAAGGCGGCCCCCUGGACGAAGACUGACGCUCAGGUGCGAAAGCGUGGGGAGCAAACAGGAUUAGAUACCCUUGUAGUC